GUAUUUUGAUGUGUAGCUACCUGAUUGCUGAUUGGUGGGAAUAUAAUAGCAUUUCCAUUUGUAAUGUUACACAAAAUUACUAUACAAUUGUUAUUCUACAAUUCUGGUUUGGUUAAUGCCAAUUAACUCCUUAUAAUUACUUGCUAAAUUAACUUAAAACCCCAUUGCAUUUGAAGCAAAAUUGAAUUUUGCUGCCCUGAAAUGUGUGUCCAAUACACAGCAAUAUUUGGCAAGAUACAUAUAAGGCCUGGAGUACUGUGGUAGACUUCCAAGUGGCUUCAUAUGAAAGCCAGAGACAAAAUUCUGGUUUCACCACUCCUAAGAGAAUUUAAUUUUUAAGUGGAAAUUUUUAGUGGAACUCAUAGCAUUUACUUGCAGAAUGUUUUCCUGUUCCUUGUUUUCACCACUAGCUGCCAUUUGGUGUAUUUGAAAAUGUUAAGUCAAAAAUGGAAGUGGGAGGGAUGUGGGAGCCAACUGCCUUACUGUUGUGGAUGUGGAUAAAUCAGUUCCUACUGUCAAGUAAAGACUGAAACUACAUGAAAAUAACCAUCUGAUCCAGCUUGUUAAACUGUGUUGUCUCAUGCUGAAAAUCACAGGCAAAUGUUCAAGUUCUAAGGGGUUACACUUGAAUACUUCUUGUGUUUUGUGUUGUUAUAAAUUCUGACUGCAGAGGGAUAAGCGGGGCUGUAAACUUCUCUUCUUGGGCAGAAAAAGCUUUCCUGAAACACUGCCUUACUGGAAAAUACUUGAAAUUAUUUUUCCCAAUCUUCUAAGUAGUGAUGGUAUUUCUAUUAAAAAGCUAUAGAUUAAUCUCUCAAAUUCAGAGAUGUGGUUGUUCAUGUUCUGUUACUACUGUCUCUAAAUCCAUGAUUUUUGUGUCUAUUUUGAACAUUUCUUUAUGUAUAAAAUAACUGCUACCAGCUUACCCUUUCUUUAACUGGAGUGAAAUAAUUUUAUGGAGUAAAAUAAUUUUCCAGAACACCAGAUCAUUUUGCCAAACACGAUUUUUGUUUUUCACUAGUCAAAAAAGCUGCUGCAACUUCUCCCCUUGUAGGAAAGGACUCAGAGCUUUGCAAGAGCUACAGUUUAAUUACAGCCAUGAUGUACCUGUUUCUUUUUGAUACAGAGAUUUAGACUUUGCAGAUUUUCAUGCUGUGUGUUUCAGGGUGGCUCUUGGGAGUGAUCUUGUGAUGCUGUUAAAAUUGGAUUAUUUCCAGUGGCCAAAAUGGAAUUCCCUCUAAGGAGAUUUCCAGAACCAUGGAGAGACUGCACAGAUUCCUCACUGUUUGUAACAUGCAGGAAACUGGAGCCUCUGAUAUUAAUUUGUCAUCAGCUUUGUGAACAGUUGUCAUUGGACACUUGGAAAAUGCAGCAUUUUGCUUUCCCUCAUUGCUCAGAAGAACAGUAUGUUUACAGGAUUCACAACAAUAUCUCGGGAUUUGUUCUUCUUGUAAAGCCAGUAAGAGUGAUGUGGUUAAUCUUCUUCACUGUGCUCCAAAUGUACACCCUGUUCCUCAGACUGCCUAACUACAAACUCUAUCCCACUUGAUGCACACAUGGAAAGUUUUGUCAUGGCAGUGGCUGCUGUUUUGUUGAUGCCUGAGCUAGCGAGAGAGCACAGAGUUCUGCACAUUGGUUUGCCUUGCACAGCCCAGCUCAAAGACAGACAGUUUCCUGGCAAACAUGCAUCCUGCUGCCUGGGUGAAGUGUUUUCCCUGGACAGACCUGCUGUUGGCAAGUUGGCAGAAGGACCCUGAAGGGUGGUUUUCAGGAAGCUUCACCUACAGGAGACUGAAGCAGUUCAGCUUUGAGGAUGGAGGUGGAGAACAUCAAAGAUUGAAGGUGUUUAUGGAAAGUGUGUUUAUGGAGAAAGCUUUUGGAAUGCCAGUGGGAUGAUAAGGUUACUUCUACAGGAGAUUAAAGGUGCCAGUUACACACUGGGGGUAAGAGGUAUUGAAACACAAACAGGCCGUGCAGAAAGACUCUGAUUUCCCAGAGAAAAACCUCUUAUUUUCUAAGAUUAUAACAAGUACAAAGCAGGAUUUUGGAGUGAUGAUAUUCACGAGGUUUUCUUUUUAAUGAAUAAAAUUCAUUCUAGAGAAGACAUAAGUUGUCUGGUUGAUUUUAUUAUUUAAAGCUUUUUGCUCAUUAGAGCAUAGAUUAGAAAUCUUGCAUUUAGGAGAGCUUCAUCCUGUACAGACAUAAUUUGGGAAUCAUAUAAUUUUUUGAGACCAUUUAGCAAUGUUUAU
Molecule: long non-coding RNA, 2249 nt
Organism: Haemorhous mexicanus (house finch)
Lineage: Eukaryota; Metazoa; Chordata; Aves; Passeriformes; Fringillidae
Exons: 6
Source: RefSeq, a predicted model, not a curated record